CUCAGACAGGGGUAGAGCUGGCAUUGACUGAAUGUGGUUAUGCAGAGCUGCUGCAGACCAGCUCUGUUACCUAGCAAGUCUAUUCUCUUGCACUUUGCCUCAGGUGGAUGGUAGUAUUGCUUCUGCAUUCCGUAAAUUUCUUUCUUCUGCCCGGGAAUGUGGAUUCUCUUGGUGAAUAUUCUGUUCCAAGAGAAUUUGUUUCACGUUUCGGUGCUUCUUUAAGGAAGGUGUAGGUGGUCUUACAGUUGAGGCACGCAUGGGAGGAGGAACUAGGCAGCAUUUUGUGUCUCUUCGUCCAGGAUUCCCUGCCACCAGGGUCAGCCAGGUCCUGCAGCUGUCUGCCUGGCUGCUGUGUGAUUCCAGCAUGCAAUAAGCUCGUGUGUCUGCCUGCUUUCUGGAACCAAGAUGUGCAAUAGAUGCAGAGCACAGCUAGUCCUGGAAAUGAGUCUCUGCGGCUCUCUGCAUGGAGGCCGAGGUCUGGGUGAUGUUUUGAGACUGAGCUUGCCUUCGCUGGGUGAUCUGAUGGGUGUGAAGGGCAAGAGAUGGAGGGCCCAUAGCAGUGCUGUCUGUGCUGCAGUCACCUGCGGGUGUGAUGGUUUAACUGUUCAUUUUUUUUUUGCCAGUAUUUGAAGUUUCAUUGCUUGAUUUACAUCUGAGUAAAUUUCUUUAGUAUCUUGGAAGACUUUUCUUUCCAGUAUGAAAGCUUACCUCGGGUUCCGAUGGCAUCCUGCUCUUACCUCCAGCUCAGCCCUCACCACUGCUCUCCGCUUUUGACAUGGAACGGGCAGACACCAUUUGUGACCGUGCGAAUAUCCUGAGUCACACACUACCAGCUGGCUUUUGUGCUGCAGUUUUCCCUUCUCCCUUUACGACUGCACUCCCUAGAGGAGACCUGAACAAUUGCACUCGUCAGCAGAAGCGCAUGGUGUGCCGUGCCUGGAUGGCACCAUUGGUGGACGACCUCUGGCUGUGUCUGUGGGAUCCAGUUGAUUUGGCUUCUGCUCUGCCUGGGCUUUGCACCUGCUACAGCCCCAGCAAACUUGGCAGCAACCCUUCGGCUCUGCAGAGAAAACAACUGUCUAGACCAGGAACGUUCUGCCUGAUGCCCUGGACGGACCCCAGGCACUAAUCUGCAUCCACAACGGCGCGUUGUUGUGUCUGUUGCAAAAGAUGGAUAAAAUCUUUGUGGACUCCUAAUUGCACCUUUAGCCUCCUGCUGUUCUGCAUUUAUGAUCUGAUCUGCACGCUGAGUCAACGUCGCUGUAACGACAUGGAUGGAGGGCAGAGGUCCGCAGGUUUGCUUUGAGGAAGCCCCAUAAACAGGGCAGAUGUUUCUGAUGGCGAUGCCGGAGCCAGCAGAACCCCUGCAGCAGUGCAGCCCCAUGGUGCUGGAGGCCCUUCCAGACUGGAGGUGUGGCGGUGGUCUGCAUGUCAGCAGAGCAGUCCCAGCAGCGUUCAGCAUGGAUGAGGUAUUGAACGCAUCCCCGUGCCUCUGGGGGGCAACGUGGCUUCUGCUGACGUGUGAACACUCUGCUUGGCAGCCUGGUGCAGCACAUCACAGCUCAGAUGGGUUCUCCCAGGCGGCUGUGCAGCACAGAGCUAAUACAUGGAAUACAGGUGCUCGUGGACUCGUUCUGCACCGACCUGCCAGUCUGCAGGCCCCAAAAAUACAGGCACGGCCCAAAGGUUUCUAUUCAGGGCUCAGCAGUGGAAUAAGGAACAUGAGCCGUGGGAUAUCCCGUGUCACCGCAGGCUGCUCAGCCUGGAAGGGGCUGGUGGCAAAGGGAGGAAACGUCAGAAACGCCAUGGACUAUUUUAGAUCUGCAACCUCAGUUCUGCAAAGGACAGCCUGCUGAUGUGCCACGCUCAGCGAGCAGCGGGGAGGAACCCCACGGCAGGAAGAGAGGUUUGCAAGUUUCCCUUUCCCAUAGAGCACAUCCCAAACUGCUGCACGACAGCAUGCUGUGCAGUGCUGUGCUGCGUGGUGUCCUGUCAGCCUGCUGGGAGGACACGGAGUGCUCCAGCAGUGGGCAAUGUGGGAGCAGGCUGUGAGCUGCACAGCCCAGCAUACAGCACGGUGUGAGGCUGGAACUCCCAGUGCCCUCAGCACGUCUCCGUGCUGCGUCCCUGGCUGUGCAGCUCGGCCUGGAGGGCCCGGGGCUGUGAGCUCAUGGGUUUCUAUUUAUGCUUUCAUCUGGUUUUGCCUGCUUUGGACGGUUAACGUAACGCACACGCAGGGUGGUGCUUCAAGGAGACAAACAGUUGCUUCAUCUCCCUGUACAGACAGCCCUCUGCCCUUUGCGUUUCGAUUCCCGGUGUCUGUGUGUGUGGAGGUGAUUUGUCCAUAAUUGUUUGCUUUCUCCGGAGUCCUUUGAAGCGUCUGUCUCCCAACCGGUCCCCUCUUAAGAAUAAAUGCUUCCAAGCCACCAAUAACACGUGGGCCAUGAUUACAGCCCGGCUCCUCGCUGAGGGCCGUGAGGUCACCGAGGCAGCGCAGUGGGAACGGUUUUGCCUUCUGUGUGUGGGGUUGGGCAGAAGGACCCCCUGUGCUGCAGUGAGGGGCGGGGAGGGCUCUGUGUGGUGC
Molecule: long non-coding RNA, 2584 nt
Filed under: Gallus gallus (chicken)
Lineage: Eukaryota; Metazoa; Chordata; Aves; Galliformes; Phasianidae
Description: long non-coding RNA NONGGAT003500
Source: RNAcentral